AUUGAACGCUGGCGGCGCGCCUAACACAUGCAAGUCGAGCGGUAACAGGUGUAGCAAUACAUGCUGACGAGCGGCGGACGGGUGAGUAAUGUUUGGGAAUCUGCCUAUUAGUGGGGGACAACCCGGGGAAACUCGGGCUAAUACCGCAUACGCUCUACGGAGGAAAGCCGGGGACCGCAAGGCCUGGCGCUAAUAGAUGAGCCCAAAUCGGAUUAGCUAGUUGGUGAGGUAACGGCUCACCAAGACGACGAUCCGUAGCUGGUCUGAGAGGACGACCAGCCACACCGGAACUGAGACACGGUCCGGACUCCUACGGGAGGCAGCAGUGGGGAAUAUUGGACAAUGGGCGAAAGCCUGAUCCAGCGACGCCGCGUGGGUGAAGAAGGCCUGCGGGUUGUAAAGCCCUUUCGGUGGGGAUGAAAAGCCUCGACCUAACACGUCGGGGUCUUGACCUAACCCAAGAAAGAAGCACCGGCUAACUCUGUGCCAGCAGCCGCGGUAAUACAGAGGGUGCGAGCGUUAAUCGGAAUUACUGGGCGUAAAGCGCACGUAGGUGGCUUUGUAAGUCGGAUGUGAAAUCCCCGGGCUUAACCUGGGAACUGCAUUCGAGACUGCAUUGCUAGAGUAUGGGAGAGGGAAGUGGAAUUUCCGGUGUAGCGGUGAAAUGCGUAGAUAUCGGAAGGAACAUCAGUGGCGAAGGCGACUUCCUGGACCAAUACUGACACUCAAGUGCGAAAGCGUGGGGAGCAAACAGGAUUAGAUACCCUGGUAGUCCACGCCAUAAACGAUGAGAACUGGAUGUCGGGAGGGUCUGCCUCUCGGUGUCGUAGCUAACGCGUUAAGUUCUCCGCCUGGGGAGUACGGCCGCAAGGUUG
RNAcentral lists this ribosomal RNA (875 nucleotides) under uncultured bacterium. Its description in RNAcentral is "bacterial SSU rRNA". It matches the Rfam family "Bacterial small subunit ribosomal RNA", at positions 28 to 896 of the family's 1533-position model. The record is from RNAcentral.